AAGUCGUAACAAGGUUUCCGUAGGUGAACCUGCGGAAGGAUCAUUCUUGUAUUAUCUAGUAAUUUAUUGCUCAGGCAAUUUACUUUCUACUAUGUGAACAGUGGUGUAUUUACUUGAUUGCAACAAUGCAAAUAUUUUUUGUGUUGAUUGUGAUUGGGAAAAAUUCAAAACAAAUUUAACAUGAAUACUAUUAUAUAUUUACAAUUGUCUUAACAUAACAACAACAACAAAUAAAAAUACAACUUUUAGCAACGGAUCUCUAGGCUCUCGCAACGAUGAAGAACGCAGCAAACUGCGAAACGUAGUGUGAAUUGCAGACCGUGAAUCAUCAAAUUUUUGAACGCACAUUGCGCUGUCUGGAAUCCCGGACAGCAUGUCUGUUUGAGCAUCAUAUCUUAUACUCCUGUUGUGUAAAGUGUGAUUUACACUUGCAUGACAGGGAAUUGUGAUUUAUCAUUCAUUGAUGAUAUCUCAUGAAAUGUAUGUCAGUGUGUAUUGUGUGUGUACUCUUGAGAGUAGUUCCUUGUGACAAACUCAUUAAAGCAAGUACACACACUUACACUUGAAACCCAUCAUGAUUAAUCCUCUCUCUUUCAUUAGAGAUGAUUUCAAUUGAUCUCAAAUCAGACAAGAUUACCCGCUGAACUUAAGCAUAUUAAUAAGCGGAGGAAAAGAAACUAACAAGGAUUCCCCUAGUAACGGCGAGUGAAGCGGGAACAGCUCAAAUUUGUAAUCUCUUCGGAGAGUUGUAAUUUGUAGAGACGUCAUCUUCAGUGAAACUGGGUAGAAGUCCCUUGGGAAAGGGCGUCACAGAGGGUGAGAAUCCCGUUCGUGACCCGGUGACACUGUCAAUGAUACGUUUUCAAAGAGUCGGGUUGUUUGGGACUGCAGCCCUAAUCUGGUGGUAUAUUCCAUCUAAAGCUAAAUACAGGCGAGAGACCGAUAGCGAACAAGUACUGUGAAGGAAAGAUGAAAAGAACUUUGAAAAGAGAGUUAAAAGUACGUGAAAUUGCUAAAAGGGAAACGUUUGAAAUCAGUGUAGUCAGGUGAAGUUCAGCCAUUCGUACCGGAUGGUGUAUGCAUCACUCGACAAGUCAGCAUCGGUUUGGCGGGAAGAAUAACCUGUGAGAAAUGUAGCUCUCCUUCGGAUGAGUGUUAUAGUCUCACGGAAAGCUUCUCGCUGGACCGAGGUACGCCUAUUCUUGUAGGAUGUUGACAAAAUGGUUUCAAAUGACC
This 1236-nucleotide ribosomal RNA is filed under the name uncultured fungus. RNAcentral's name for it is "eukaryotic LSU rRNA". The stretch from base 614 to 1236 matches the Rfam family "Eukaryotic large subunit ribosomal RNA", at positions 1 to 649 of the family's 3401-position model. Lineage: Eukaryota; Fungi. The record is from RNAcentral.